AUUGAACGCUGGCGGCAGGCCUAACACAUGCAAGUCGAACGGUAGCACAGAGAGCUUGCUCUCGGGUGACGAGUGGCGGACGGGUGAGUAACGUCUGGGAAACUGCCCGAUGGAGGGGGAUAACUACUGGAAACGGUAGCUAAUACCGCAUAACGUCGCAAGACCAAAGUGGGGGACCUUCGGGCCUCACACCAUCGGAUGUGCCCAGAUGGGAUUAGCUAGUAGGUGGGAUAAUGGCUCACCUAGGCGACGAUCCCUAGCUGGUCUGAGAGGAUGACCAGCCACACUGGAACUGAGACACGGUCCAGACUCCUACGGGAGGCAGCAGUGGGGAAUAUUGCACAAUGGACGCAAGCCUGAUGCAGCCAUGCCGCGUGUAUGAAGAAGGCCUUCGGGUUGUAAAGUACUUUCAGCGGGGAGGAAGGCGGUGGAGUUAAUAACUUCACCGAUUGACGUUACCCGCAGAAGAAGCACCGGCUAACUCCGUGCCAGCCGCCGCGGUAA
RNAcentral lists this ribosomal RNA (504 nucleotides) under uncultured bacterium. RNAcentral's name for it is "partial 16S ribosomal RNA". It matches the Rfam family "Bacterial small subunit ribosomal RNA", at positions 30 to 523 of the family's 1533-position model. The record is from RNAcentral.